This 465-nucleotide ribosomal RNA is filed under the name uncultured bacterium. RNAcentral's name for it is "partial 16S ribosomal RNA". It matches the Rfam family "Bacterial small subunit ribosomal RNA", at positions 339 to 795 of the family's 1533-position model. The record is from RNAcentral.
CUACGGGAGGCACCAGUGGGGAAUAUUGGACAAUGGGGGAAACCCUGAUCCAGCAAUGCCGCGUGUGUGAAGAAGGCCUGCGGGUUGUAAAGCACUUUCGGUUGGGAGGACUGCUUCUAGCACUAAUAUUGUUGGAAGUUGACGUUACCUUCAGAAGAAGCACCGGCUAACUCCGUGCCAGCAGCCGCGGUAAUACGGAGGGUGCAAGCGUUAAUCGGAACUACUGGGCGUAAAGCGCGCGUAGGCGGCUAGAUCAGUCGGGUGUGAAAGCCCCGGGCUUAACCUGGGAACUGCAUCCGAUACUGUCUAGCUUGAGUACAGGAGAGGAGAGUGGAAUUCCACAUGUAGCGGUGAAAUGCGUAGAUAUGUGGAGGAACACCAAUGGCGAAGGCAGCUCUCUGGCCUGAUACUGACGCUGAGACGCGAAAGCGUGGGGAGCAAACAGGAUUAGAUACCCCGGUAGUC